UACGGAGGGGGCUAGCGUUGUUCGGAAUUACUGGGCGUAAAGCGGGUGUAGGCGGAUCUCUAAGUCGGGGGUGAAAGCCCAGGGCUCAACCCUGGAAUUGCCUUCGAUACUGGAGAUCUCGAGUCUAGGAGAGGUGAGCGGAAUUCCGAGUGUAGAGGUGAAAUUCGUAGAUAUUCGGAGGAACACCAGAGGCGAAGGCGGCUCACUGGACUAGUACUGACGCUGAGACCCGAAAGCGUGGGGAGCAAACAGG
This 253-nucleotide ribosomal RNA is filed under the name uncultured bacterium. Its description in RNAcentral is "partial 16S ribosomal RNA". It matches the Rfam family "Bacterial small subunit ribosomal RNA", at positions 524 to 776 of the family's 1533-position model. The record is from RNAcentral.